Lynx canadensis (Canada lynx) is the source of this 1810-nucleotide non-coding RNA. The record is from the annotation of a RefSeq genome assembly. Lineage: Eukaryota; Metazoa; Chordata; Mammalia; Carnivora; Felidae.
CAGAGCUCAGACCCUAACCCACCUAGUCAGUCUCCUUCCAGCAGGUGCAGCUGGGAGGUCACCCUGGGCUUCUCUCCACCAGUGGGGAAGCAGAACCAUGCUGGGUCCCCUCGCCUUCCUGUGCGCCCUCCUGUUUCCCGGUGGCGUGGCAGCGAUCAGUGUGGAGCAGCCAGCCGUGGUGGUGGCGCGUGCAGGCAGCUGGGCCACGCUGCCCUGCAAAGCCAGCACCUCGGUCAGCUACAUCCACUGGUACCGCCACCAGGAGGGUACAGCCCCCAAGAGGAUCCUCAUGCUGGAUAUGUCCAGCUCAUAUGUGACCAGAGAUGGUGUCUUGACAGCAGACAAGGUCCACGCCAAGAAAGGCAAGGAUAGCACAAGCUCUAACCUGUUGCUGCUGAAGCUGGCGAAGAGCGAUGAGGGCGUGUAUUACUGUGCUGUUUGGGAAGAUCAGAGCACAGCCUUACAGGAAGCUCAGGUCCUUGAGCAAAAAGUCCCCAACUCCCAGGGUGCUCCAGUCCUGGACUUUCCAUGGGUGCUGGGUCCCUGGGGUUUCCUGGGUCAACCGACAGUACCCUGGACACUGGAGGACACCCCCCUCCGUGGGUCCACUGCACAUGACCCAGGAGGCUAAGGAGCCCCGGCUCACAGGCUGGUGCAGACCCAGGGGGCUGUCCCGUCUGGAGGCACUUUUCUAAAGAUCGUCCAGGGUGAGCUUCUGGAGCAUCUGGAGCAGGAUCUGAGCUGCUCAAGGCAGUAGCCACGAGCACCAGGCAUCAGCCCAAUGUGGCUACUGAGCACUUGAAAUGUAGCCACUGCACUAAUCCAUGCUGCCAUGGGCUGCUUGUGUAGCAUAUUCUGGAGACUAUAAAAGACGAUGAAAUAUAUCCUUAAAAAUUUCUAUAUUAACUGCACACUGAAAUCACACUGAAAUACUAUUUUGGAUAUCAUUCACUAAAUAAAAUUUGUGCUAGAAUUAUUUCUUUAACUUUGUAACUUAUUUAUUUAACCUUGUUUUUAACGCAGCAUUUAGGGAAUUUUUAAUUUGUGUCUCAAAUUGUGUCUAACACUUACUUCUAUUGAGCAGAGCUGUGCCAGACUGACGAUUCAAGAAUCUGACCAUCUCCAAUGAAGAAUGUGGGAAUAAAAUAUCGUGCAAAUAAUUUCAAGGCCGAGAGACUCUCUGGGGAUUCCGCACAAAAUGGGUGCAAGCCAAGACUGAAAGGCAGCUCCUGACUCCAGUUUCUAAGUUGCCGCCCCGCCCACUGCUGGUUCCUGUGCAGAGAGAGAGAGAUUCCUUGAUCAGAAGCCCAGGAAACAGUGUGGCUGACUUCGCAGCACCCUCACCCAUGCCUGGCGCUCACUCUCCUGCGGGGGAAAUGAUCCUCAGGGCAGGUGCAUGCAUCAGCCCUGGAGGAGACCCCAGGCCCUCCACCUUCCCCUUCUCCUUGAAAGUGACUCCAUAUGGGAUUUGGGGACCAGCUUCCCUGGACCUCUGUUCUCUCCUCUGUAAAGUGAGGAGGUUUAACUGCUACAGUUGUGUGACUGAUUUCUGUAUUAAAGCAAAAUUAUACCAAAAAUAUAUCACUAUGUUCACUAACUUCUAAUAAAGCUAGUCAACCUCUUGACCAAAAGAAAAAAAAAAAGAAAAAAGAAAGAAGAGAAAUUAAGGAAAAGAAAAGCUAUUUACUGAUUCUCCAGCCCCAAACAGAAAGGCCCUGUUGUGUGGGGGGAAGAUAAAGCUCUCUGAGGAGGUCUAGCUGAAUUAAAUGCAUUUUCAAUUGAAAAUUCCAACUUUAUGUGACAUAAUAGC